GAAUUCUAGCAAAUCUCAAAAUAGGAAUAAAAAGGAAUUGUAGUCUUAAAUUCGACUAUAUGAAUAAGUAAUUACUAGUAAUCGUAAUAACCAUGUCACGGUAAUAUUUAUCGGAUUGGUACUAACCAUCGUGAUGCUGAAAGGAGUUAUACAAUAAGUUUGCUCUUUUAUAGUAAAAAAAUAAAAUAAUUAGAUUUUGUAUAUAUUAUUAUAAAAUUCUUCGCAUGUAUAGCUCUAAUUAGUGUUAAGUGCAAAUACGGUUGCGCUAGUGGAAGUUCGCGGGAAUAAUUG
This 291-nucleotide ribosomal RNA is filed under the name Beauveria bassiana. RNAcentral describes it as "partial small subunit ribosomal RNA". The record is from RNAcentral. Lineage: Eukaryota; Fungi; Ascomycota; Sordariomycetes; Hypocreales; Cordycipitaceae.